GACGAACGCUGGCGGCGUGCUUAACACAUGCAAGUCGAACGCUGAAGCUUGGUGCUUGCACUGGGUGGAUGAGUGGCCAACGGGUGAGUAAUACGUGAGUAACCUGCCCUUGACUCUGGGAUAAGCCUGGGAAACUGGGUCUAAUACUGGAUACUACAUGUCACCGCAUGGUGGUGUGGGGAAAUGGGUUUACUGGUUUGGGAUGGGCUCACGGCCUAUCAGCUUGUUGGUGGGGUAAGGGCUCACCAAGGCGACGCCGGGUAGCCGGCCUGAGAGGGUGACCGGCCACACUGGGACUGAGACACGGCACAGACUCCUACGGGAGGCAGCAGUGGGGAAUAUUGCACAAUGGGCGGAAGCCUGAUGCAGCGAAGCAGCGUGAGGGAUGACGGCAUUCGGGUUGUAAACCUAUUUCAGCACGGAAGAAGCGAAAGUGACGGUACGUGCAGAAGAAGCGCCGGCUAACUACGUG
This 472-nucleotide ribosomal RNA is filed under the name uncultured bacterium. RNAcentral describes it as "partial 16S ribosomal RNA". It matches the Rfam family "Bacterial small subunit ribosomal RNA", at positions 28 to 507 of the family's 1533-position model. The record is from RNAcentral.